GCGCCAUUCCUGCCUCAACCUCCGGACGUGCUAAGAUUACAGCAGCUUUCUCAGGUUGAAUACUACAAUGUUGAAGAGCAGUUGAAAGCAGGCAUCCUUGUUCCUGGUGAUCAAACUGAUUAAAUUAAAAUAAAUUUAAUUGUUUUCUUUGA
Non-coding RNA from Microcebus murinus (gray mouse lemur), 152 nucleotides. The record is from RefSeq and is a predicted model, not a curated record. NCBI's taxonomy places the organism in Eukaryota, Metazoa, Chordata, Mammalia, Primates, Cheirogaleidae.